UUUUGUCUGGCUCCAGAUUGAACGCUGGCGGAUGCUUUACACAUGCAAGUCAGGCGGCAGCCUGGACUUCGGUCUGGUGGCGAGUGGCGAACGGGUGAGUAAUGUAUCGGAACGUGCCUAGUAGCGGGGAUAACUACGCGAAAGCGUAGCUAAUACCGCAUACGCCCUUCGAGGAAAGCGGGGGACCUUCGGGCCUGCACUAUUGAAACGGCCGAUAUCGGAUUAGCUAGUUGGUGGGGUAACGGCUCGCAAGGCGACGAUCCGUAGCUGGUUUGAGAGGACGACCAGCUACACUGGGACCGAGACACGGCCCAGACUCCUACGGGAGAGCAGCAGUGGGGAAUUUGGACAAUGGGGGAAACCUGAUCCAGCCAUCCCGCGUGUGCGUCGAGCCUUCGGAUUGUAAAAGCACUUUUGGCAGGAAAAAGCAGCACCAGGAUAAUACCCCGUGCAACUGACGGUACCUGCAGAAUAACGCAAGCCUUCACGUGCCAGCAGCCGCGGUAAUACGUAGGGUGCAAGCGUUAAUCCAGAUUACUGGGCGUGGCGUGCUGCGACGGUUGAAGAAGAUGUGAAAUCCAGAGCUUAACGGAACUGCAUUUUUAACUACCGAGCUGAAAUUGUGUCAGAGGAGGUGAAUUCCGCGUGUAGCAGUGAAAUGCGUAGAUGUGCGGAGAACACCGAUGGCAGCAGCCUGGGAUACUGACGCUCCAUGCAGCGUACAGGGAGCAAACAGGAUUAGAUACCCUGAUGAUCCCACGCCCUAAACGAUGUCAACUAGCUGUUGGGCCUUCAGGCUGGCAAUGGCUUCAACUAACGCGUGAGAUUGACCGCCUGGAGCGGUCGCCGUUAAGGCUCAAAGGAAUUGGCGGGAUUGCCACAAGCGGUGGAUGAUGUGGAUUAAUUCGAUGCAACGCGAAAAACCUCUACCUUGACAUGUCUGGAAUCCCGAAGAGAUUUGGGUGCUGCUGAAAACCGGAACACAGGUGCUGCAUGGCUGUCGUCAGCUCGUGUCGUGAGAUGUUGGGUUAAGUCCCGCAACGAGCGCAACCCUUGUCAUUAGUUGCUACGAAAGGGCACUCUAAUGAGACUGCCGGUGACAAACCCGGAGGAAGAUGAGACGGCGUCAAGUCCUCAUGUGUCGCAGGUGCGACACACGUCAUACAAUGGUCGGGACAGGGGUCGCCAACCCGCGAGGGGAGCCGUCGAAACCCGGGUGUCUUGAGUCGGAUCGCGGUCUGCUCGGCUGCGUGAAGUCGGAAUCGCUAGUAAUCGCGGAUCAGCAUGUCGCGGUGAAUACGUUCCCGGGUCUUGUACACACCGCCAAUGCACCUGUGGGAGUGGGUUUUACCAGAAGUAGUUAGCCUAACCGUAAGGAGGGCAGUUACCACACAGUAGGAUUCAUGACUGAGGUGAAGUCGUAACAAGAUAA
RNAcentral lists this ribosomal RNA (1432 nucleotides) under uncultured Bordetella sp. Its description in RNAcentral is "partial 16S-23S ribosomal RNA intergenic spacer". It matches the Rfam family "Bacterial small subunit ribosomal RNA". The record is from RNAcentral. Lineage: Bacteria; Pseudomonadati; Pseudomonadota; Betaproteobacteria; Burkholderiales; Alcaligenaceae.